This 467-nucleotide ribosomal RNA is filed under the name uncultured bacterium. RNAcentral's name for it is "bacterial SSU rRNA". It matches the Rfam family "Bacterial small subunit ribosomal RNA", at positions 28 to 524 of the family's 1533-position model. The record is from RNAcentral.
GAUGAACGCUGGCGGAGUGCCUAACACAUGCAAGUCGAGCGGCAGCACGAGUAGUUUACUACUUGGUGGCGGGCGGCGGACGGCUGAGUAACGCGUGGGAACGUGCCCCAAAGUGAGGAAUAACUGCCCGAAAGGGUAGCUAAUGCCGCAUAUGAUCUUCGGAUUAAAGUAUUUAUUACGCUUUGGGAGCGGCCCGCGUCCGAUUAGGUAGUUGGUGAGGUAAAGGCUCACCAAGCCCACGAUCGGUAGCUGGUCUGAGAGGAUGACCAGCCAGACUGGAACUGAGACACGGUCCAGACUCCUACGGGAGGCAGCAGUGAGGAAUCUUCCACAAUGGACGAAAGUCUGAUGGAGCAACUCCGCGUGCAGGAUGAAGGCCCUCGGGUCGUAAACUGCUUUUAUGAGUGAAGAAUACGACGUAACUCAUGAAUAAGGGUCGCUAACUACGUGCCAGCCGCCGCCGUAAU